This 70-nucleotide transfer RNA is filed under the name Dipodomys ordii (Ord's kangaroo rat). It matches the Rfam family "tRNA". Rfam says of the family: Transfer RNA (tRNA) molecules are approximately 80 nucleotides in length. Their secondary structure includes four short double-helical elements and three loops (D, anti-codon, and T loops). The record is from Rfam by way of RNAcentral. Lineage: Eukaryota; Metazoa; Chordata; Mammalia; Rodentia; Heteromyidae.
GGGAAUGUGGCUUAGUGGUAAAGUGCUUGCCUAACAUGCAUGAAGCCCUGGGUUCGAUUCCUCAGUACCA